UGAAAGAAAUGAAACUGAAACUGUUGAAACAGAGAAGAGAGAUUUAGAAGCAAGUUAUGAGAUUGAGCAUGAACGAGAAAAACAUGAAAUCUGAAAUCCGAAAGAGGUAAAAUGGAUGAAGAUGAGGAUACUCUAAGUUGAAAUGAGUUUGAGAGUGAGAAAUCAGUAGCUGACUUUGAGGGUGAGUUGCCAACUGAGAAAAACGAGAUUUCAUAGAGUUUGGAUGACUCUGAACAGAAGUUAUAUCCUCAAGUGGUUUGGUGAGAAGAUAAGUAGUAUGGGUGGGAUUAGAUAGGAUUCAUAUGUUUACAUGAUGUUUACGGCAGCUAACCCUAAUUUAAUUAGAUGAUGAAUUUUACUUUUAUUUGUUUUAAUCAAAAGAAAAAAAAAAUCUAAAAACCAAUUAAUAUCAGUUGGAAAAU
This 422-nucleotide long non-coding RNA is filed under the name Brassica napus (rape). RNAcentral's name for it is "long non-coding RNA (BNAP_LNC009962)". Lineage: Eukaryota; Viridiplantae; Streptophyta; Magnoliopsida; Brassicales; Brassicaceae. The record is from RNAcentral.